Bombus huntii is the source of this 1593-nucleotide long non-coding RNA. RefSeq lists it as uncharacterized. Lineage: Eukaryota; Metazoa; Arthropoda; Insecta; Hymenoptera; Apidae. The record is from RefSeq and is a predicted model, not a curated record. The transcript is spliced from 3 exons.
UAAAUUGUACAAUACCUGUACUAUUUGGGGUCCCGAUGGAACUUUGAUAGCAAAACACCGAAAGGUACAUCUAUUCGACAUCGACAUUCCUAAUAAGAUUACUUUUCGAGAGAGUGAUUCACUCAGUCCUGGUAACUCCCUAACGACGUUCGAUGUGAAGGGCUGCAAAAUAGGUAUUGGCAUUUGCUAUGAUAUUAGAUUCGAGGAAAUGGCACGCAUUUAUCGGAACAAAGGUACAGUAACUUAAUCGAUCAAUACUUAACUAGCAAAAAAUUAAAUAUCUUUCUUAAAUAUAUUCUAUAUAAAAUUAAUAUAAUCUGUAACUCUGUAUAAAAAGAAGCUUAAUUUAAAAAACCAGUAUAUUUGCUGAAAAUGAAACAAAUAAAAGAAUUAAAAGCACAAUAAGAGGACUGUCCUCGCAUAUUCAGAAAUGAUGGAAUGUGAAUCGUGCAACUACGAAGUUAAUUGGUAUUCGGUGGCUUCAUAUUUCCUGCUUCUCUGGGUUAGGUUGCCAAAUGCUGAUAUAUCCAGCGGCAUUCAAUAUGACCACUGGACCACUGCACUGGUCAUUACUUCAGCGUUUCAGAGCGAAUGAUAAUCAAUUAUACGUUGCCUGCAUAUCACCGGCUCGUGUUCCUUAAGCAAGUUACGUCGCAUGGGGACAUACACAGUUGACCAAUCCCUGGGGAAAGAUUCUUUACGAUUUGGAAACUCAAGAGAAUAUGGCAGUCACCGAUAUCGAUCUAAAAGUUGUUGAGGAAGUAAGGGCUCAGAUACCUACAUUUUCUCAGAGACGUACAGAUUUGUACGACACUGUCUGUAAGAAGGAGUAACUCUACACUAAAACAGAAAAUGUUUUUUUAUAAUAUUUCUACUACGAUAUCCUUUUUUUGUGAAUUAUUACUAAUUUCUUAUCAUUUGUACUAAAUGAAUGACUCAAUUAAGAAAACCAAAACGUUAUAAAUAAUAAUCUGUAUAUCUUGUGUAUCAACAUGUAAUUGGAUAUUAUAAUAAUAUAGGAUAAUAAUAUAGGAGAAUAAUAAUAUAGAAAAUAAUACAUGCUUUUAAACACCUUUAAUAUCGAUCACAUAAAUUGUAAUAAUUCACAAUGAUCACGCAUACAUAAAAGACCCUUUGAUAGUAAAAUUUACGAUCAAAACGCAAUUACGUAUCGUUUAACAACAUUUAAUUUAUAACACCUUUUAAACAUUUAGACAGAUUAACACAUAACACUUCUUAUAUAUAAACAUCAAUUCGAAGUUAUCAGCUUGGAGAAAUUGGUCGAUUAAUACCUGUAGAUUGUCUGUCUCGAUGAAAGCCUUAAAGAGAGCAAAAACAUGAUAAUGCCGCUAAUAUAAUAUUCCUUCUUUCUUGUAUCUGUCUGCCUCUCAGGUCGUUUUACUAAUUACAAUAAGUAAUUUCGACUUCUUUGCGCUCUCUUUUAACGCAUUCGAGACCGAAAGAAAUUCAUAUCAGUCAGUAGGCAAGGGUAUAAUAUACAUAUUUUAUAUAUAACUUAUGUAGUAAUGUAUAGAUCAUGUUAAUUUCAUAUUUUUUUCAAUAUAGAAUUAUUAUAUAUAUAUAUAUAUAUAU